Long non-coding RNA from Diachasma alloeum, 997 nucleotides. RefSeq lists it as uncharacterized. Lineage: Eukaryota; Metazoa; Arthropoda; Insecta; Hymenoptera; Braconidae. The record is from RefSeq and is a predicted model, not a curated record. The transcript has 3 exons.
UCUCUGAAGAACCCCCUGAUUCAAGGGGGCACCGUAGUACGCUUGGACGGUAUGUAACUGUCGUCACACGUUUCAUCGUAAACGUAAAAACUUCGCGUUAGUAAAAAAACGAAAAUAAAACAUUAAUAAUUUUCCAACGUUUAAAACAGAUACGAUUUUUAAUAAAUUAGUUAAUCAGAAACACUUUCAAUUAUCUACAACUUAAAUAAGAAAUGUGGAUUUGUGUGAUGGUGUUCUGGUUUAAAGGAUAAUCUAAAAUAUUUACGCAUUUGAUUGUGAAUGAAAAUUGGGUGGAAAAAUCAGCCGAAAAAUGAUAGAAAAUGGUUGAUAAUUUUUCCGAGUUGUUGUUGAUCAUUAUGCUAAUAGAGUGACGAGUUGUGGGGGAUGUUGGAGGCUCCAUUGAUAAUGUGUAAAAAGUGUAUUUGUGGAUGAAAAAAUCAAGGAGAACAAUAAUGGAUAAACCGUAAAAAUUUUAUGAGUGCAAAAAAGCGACUGAAAUAUUUUGUGUUACACAUCGGUGUGUAUAGAAGGCGUUGCAGCAGUUGGAAGACCAAGAGCAACGUCCCAAAGUAUGAUAAUGUCUACAAAAACUAGUGAUUAAGUGACAAACGUGGAUUAACCCUGGUCCUGGUUAAAUGAAUUAUUAUUUAACAUGAUUAAAUUGUGGACUGAAGGAUUAUCACGUGAAAAAGUGAUAUGUUAUUAUGGGAUCAUAUCCCCAGUGGUGAUAUAAUCAUCGUAACAACGAUUGAUUAAUUUAUUUAUGAAUAAUAACCAAGUACAAGGACGAAGAAAUUGUUGAGUGUGGAUUUUAAGUUGAAUUUUAACAUUAAGAAAAAGAAAAACACACAGUGCCAACACUACAGAUGGAUAAACAGGGAUGACUGACAAUUGUUGGAAUUCAGGUGGUGGCGCUGGCGUCAAGAUGGAGCACUUUCAGACCACCCUGGACCCCAGGAAGCAGGAGUUACUGGAGGCCCGGUUUCUUGGAGCGAGG